AGAGUUUGAUCAUGGCUCAGAAUCAACGCUGGCGGCGCGCUUAACACAUGCAAGUCGAACGAGAAAGCCGGGGCAACCUGGUGAGUACAGUGGCGUACGGGUGAGUAACACGUGGGUAAUCUAACUCUUAGUGAGGAAUAACCCUGGGAAACCGGGGCUAAUACCGCAUAAGCCCGAGAGGGGAAAGUCGCAAGACGCUGAGAGAGGAGCCCGCGGCCGAUUAGCUAGUUGGCAGGGUAAGAGCCUACCAAGGCAGAGAUCGGUAGCCGGCCUGAGAGGGCACACGGCCACACUGGCACUGAAACACGGGCCAGACUCCUACGGGAGGCAGCAGUGGGGAAUCUUGCACAAUGGGGGAAACCCUGAUGCAGCGACGCCGCGUGAGCGAUGAAGCCCUUCGGGGUGUAAAGCUCUUUCGGCAGGGACGAUAAUGACGGUACCUGCAGAAGCAGCUGCGGCUAACUACGUGCCAGCAGCCGCGGUAAUACGUAGGCAGCGAGCGUUGUUCGGAGUUACUGGGCGUAAAGGGUGUGUAGGCGGUUGCUUAAGUUUGGUGUGAAAUCUCCCGGCUCAACUGGGAGGGUGCGCCGAAUACUGAGCGGCUAGAGUGCGGGAGAGGAGAGUGGAAUUCCUGGUGUAGCGGUGAAAUGCGUAGAUAUCAGGAGGAACACCGGUGGUGUAGACGGCUCUCUGGACCGUAACUGACGCUGAGACACGAAAGCGUGGGUAGCAAACAGGAUUAGAUACCCUGGUAGUCCACGCCCUAAACGAUGCAUAUUUGGUGUGGGUCAUUCAGUUGAUCCGUGCCGGAGCUAACGCGUUAAAUAUGCCGCCUGGGGAGUACAGUCGCAAGGCUGAAACUCAAAUGAAUUGACGG
Molecule: ribosomal RNA, 877 nt
Filed under: uncultured bacterium
Lineage: Bacteria
Description: bacterial SSU rRNA
Rfam family: Bacterial small subunit ribosomal RNA
Source: RNAcentral